CAGUCGCCACGGGAAUACGCAGGGGGCUAGCGUUGCUCGGAAUUACUGGGCGUAAAGGGAGCGUAGGCGGGUCGUUUAGUCAGAGGUGAAAUCCCGGGGCUCAACCUCGGAACUGCCUUUGAUACUGGCGACCUUGAGUAUGGGAUAGGCAAGCGGAACUCCGAGUGUAGAGGUGAAAUUCGUAGAUAUUCGGAAGAACACCAGUGGCGAAGGCGGCUUACUGGCCCAUUACUGACGCUGAGGCUCGAAAGCGUGGGGAGCAAACAGGAUUAGAUACCCCUGUAGUCCCUGUCUCUUAUAC
RNAcentral lists this ribosomal RNA (301 nucleotides) under uncultured bacterium. RNAcentral describes it as "partial 16S ribosomal RNA". It matches the Rfam family "Bacterial small subunit ribosomal RNA", at positions 509 to 807 of the family's 1533-position model. The record is from RNAcentral.